This 215-nucleotide long non-coding RNA is filed under the name Solanum tuberosum (potato). RNAcentral's name for it is "long non-coding RNA (STUB_LNC002533)". Lineage: Eukaryota; Viridiplantae; Streptophyta; Magnoliopsida; Solanales; Solanaceae. The record is from RNAcentral.
UACAGGCAAGGACUCUAAUCGACCCACCCGCUAGGAUUCAGGUUCAGCUGUGAGUUGGUAAGCUCCAUCUUAUCCUGGGGCUAUCAGAGGAUGUUUACUUUUGUUGUACAGUUUGGGUAUAGUCGGGGCCUUGUCCCAACAGUGCUUAUGUCACUCAUAGAGGCUAUUGUGGACACAAUAUUCUGGGUUUUCUUUUUGUAUGUUUCAACCUCCAG